AAUGAACGCUGGCGGCAGGCCUAACACACGCAAGUCGAACGGAUCCUUCGGGAUUAGUGGCGGACGGGUGAGUAACGCGUGGGAACAUACCCUUUGGUACGGAAUAGCCUCGGGAAACUGGGAGUAAUACCGUAUGUGGUCGAGAGACGAAAGAUUUAUCGCCAAAGGAUUGGCCCGCGUUGGAUUAGGUAGUUGGUGGGGUAAUGGCCUACCAAGCCGACGAUCCAUAGCUGGUUUGAGAGGAUGAUCAGCCACACUGGGACUGAGACACGGCCCAGACUCCUACGGGAGGCGGCAGUGGGGAAUCUUAGACAAUGGGGGAAACCCUGAUCUAGCCAUGCCGCGUGAUCGAUGAAGGCCUUAGGGUUGUAAAGAUCUUUCAGGUGGGAAGAUAAUGACUGUACCACCAGAAGAAGCCCCGGCUAACUCCGUGCCAGCCGCCGCGGUAA
Molecule: ribosomal RNA, 449 nt
Filed under: uncultured bacterium
Lineage: Bacteria
Description: partial 16S ribosomal RNA
Rfam family: Bacterial small subunit ribosomal RNA
Source: RNAcentral